GACGAACGCUGGCGGCGUGCUUAACACAUGCAAGUCGAACGAGUGGCGAACGGGUGAGUAAUGUAUGGGGAUCUGCCCGCUAGAGGGGGAUAACUACUGGAAACGGUGGCUAAUACCGCAUACUAUCGGAUGAACCCAUAUGGGAGUAGCUAGUAGGUGGGGUAAAGGCUCACCUAGGCGACGAUCUCUAGCUGGUCUGAGAGGCUGAUCAGCCACACUGGGACUGAGACACGGCCCAGACUCCUACGGGAGGCAGCAGUGGGGAAUAUUGCACAAUGGGCGAAAGCCUGAUGCAGCGACGCCGCGUGGGGGAUGAAGGCUUUCGGGUUGUAAACCUCUUUCGCUAUCGAACGGGUAGGUGGAGAAGAAGCGCCGGCUAACUACGUGCCAGCAGCCGCGGUAAUUC
This 406-nucleotide ribosomal RNA is filed under the name uncultured bacterium. RNAcentral describes it as "partial 16S ribosomal RNA". It matches the Rfam family "Bacterial small subunit ribosomal RNA", at positions 28 to 526 of the family's 1533-position model. The record is from RNAcentral.